Molecule: RNA transcript, 1059 nt
Organism: Halichondria panicea
Lineage: Eukaryota; Metazoa; Porifera; Demospongiae; Suberitida; Halichondriidae
Exons: 5
Source: RefSeq, a predicted model, not a curated record
UGGUAGAUCCAUAGAUAGCCUCGAAUCCAGGCCCCUCGUACUUACCUAUCAAAGACACCACAAACUAGCCAUCUCAUCCAUGAGUCCAGGGCGACGGGAUUCCAACUCAGAGCGUCGUACAGGUGUUGGAAUAGAGGGUCAGUGCACUGAGGAAGAUAAUGGUGUGCCUAUCUGCCAACCUUCUAAUCGUACUGGAUUGCUUCAACGUCCGACGCCACACUUGUCUGUGUUUCAGAGGCUCCAAAAUCAACUCAAAUCACAUCCCCGAUUGUUUACAACAUGUUAAUUUUGCACUAUUGUUGGAUUCUUGAUCAUCGUUGCCUGUGUUGUUGUUCCUGUUGUCAUAGCUCCAUGUAGGGACUACUCCACUAGAGGAUAUCUUCAGUCAUGGUACUAUUCUGUUUUCCCUCAACAUUGGCACUUCUUGUCACUCGGAUUUAUUUGCACAAGAAAUUAGCUCGACUCAAGAUGACUCCACCGUGCAGGAACUUUGACUCUAUAGCAGAAAAUGUGAAGAUGUCCAUAAGCAUCGGGAAACUGUCAAUGAUUCGCGGUAUGGCUACACAAACUUCACUCGGUCAUUGGGUAUCUACUAGAAACAGUAUUUUUCUUAAAACUCGAAUGUAUCUGUUUCCAUUAAUGCGUUAACACCUCUUGGUAGGAGUAGUGAAGCGAUUGUAUGUAUUUUUGAUAACCAAGAACAUUUUCAAGACUUCAUAACUGAUGAGGAGUACUGGAAGAAGCACAUUCAGUAUGCUGUGUACUGCAACAAUACAAUGGUGUACAAUGGCUCCCUGGACACACUGACCCAAAGGCACCCAUUCACAUUGUGUCAGGAUCAGCCGGUUGCCGUGAGAGACACUCUGGGUUCCAAAAGCGAGGACUACUGCUACAGUAGGAUGACAGUGUCAUGCACAGUGGAGCAGAUCAGUGCCGAUCAGGAUGGCACUGUUAUUACAAGUUCACCAUCAUCAAACACUACCAUUAUUAUAUGGACCCUAUAUACGAUAUGACUUUAUAAUUCACAUUUAUUUAUUAUGUCGUCAUUGAAAGUUCUCU